AGCAGCCGCGGUAAUUCCAGCUCCAAUAGCGUAUAUUAAAGUUGUUGCAGUUAAAAAGCUCGUAGUUGAAUUUCGGGGUCAGUAGGUUGGUCGUGCCACGGGUAUGUACUGGUCUCACUGAUUACUCCUUCCUGAUGAACCGUAAUGCCAUUAAUUUGGUGUUGCGGGGAAACUGGACUGUUACUUUGAAAAAAUUAGAGUGUUUAAAGCAGGCUAACGCUUGAAUACAUUAGCAUGGAAUAAUGAAAUAGGACGUUGAUCUUAUUUUGUUGGUUUCUAGGAUUGACGUAAUGAUUAAUAGGGAUAGUUGGGGGCAUUAGUAUUCAAUUGUCAGAGGUGAAAUUCUUGGAUUUAUUGAAGACUAACUACUGCGAAAGCAUUUGCCAAGGAUGUUUUCAUUAAUCAAGAACGAAAGUUAGGGGAUCGAAGACGAUCAGAUACCGUCGUAGUCUUAACCAUAAACUAUGCCGACUAGGGAUCGGAUGAUGUUAAUUUUUUAAUGACUCAUUCGGCGCCUUAC
This 520-nucleotide ribosomal RNA is filed under the name uncultured Glomeromycotina. RNAcentral describes it as "SSU rRNA". It matches the Rfam family "Eukaryotic small subunit ribosomal RNA", at positions 569 to 1091 of the family's 1831-position model. The record is from RNAcentral. Lineage: Eukaryota; Fungi; Glomeromycota.